GAGUUAUCUGACCUUCGGGGAACGAUAACGGCGUCGAGCGGCGGACGGGUGAGUAAUGCCUAGGAAAUUGCCUUGAUGUGGGGGAUAACCAUUGGAAACGAUGGCUAAUACCGCAUAANGCCUACGGGCCAAAGAGGGGGACCUUCGGGCCUCUCGCGUCAAGAUAUGCCUAGGUGGGAUUAGCUAGUUGGUGAGGUAAUGGCUCACCAAGGCGACGAUCCCUAGCUGGUCUGAGAGGAUGAUCAGCCACACUGGAACUGAGACACGGUCCAGACUCCUACGGGAGGCAGCAGUGGGGAAUAUUGCACAAUGGGCGCAAGCCUGAUGCAGCCAUGCCGCGUGUAUGAAGAAGGCCUUCGGGUUGUAAAGUACUUUCAGCAGUGAGGAAGGGGGUGUCGUUAAUAGCGGCAUCUCUUGACGUUAGCUGCAGAAGAAGCACCGGCUAACUCCGUGCCAGCAGCCGCGGUAAUACGGAGGGUGCGAGCGUUAAUCGGAAUUACUGGGCGUAAAGCGCAUGCAGGUGGNUUGUUAAGUCAGAUGUGAAAGCCCGGGGCUCAACCUCGGAACUGCAUUUGAAACUGGCAAACUAGAGUACUGUAGAGGGGGGUAGAAUUUCAGGUGNAGCGGNGAAAUGCGUAGAGAUCUGAAGGAAUACCAGUGGCGANGGNNGCCCCCUGGNCAGAUACUGACACUCANAUGCGAAAGCGUGGGGGAGCAAACAG
RNAcentral lists this ribosomal RNA (722 nucleotides) under Vibrio sp. HR08-17. RNAcentral's name for it is "bacterial SSU rRNA". It matches the Rfam family "Bacterial small subunit ribosomal RNA", at positions 69 to 775 of the family's 1533-position model. The record is from RNAcentral. Lineage: Bacteria; Pseudomonadati; Pseudomonadota; Gammaproteobacteria; Vibrionales; Vibrionaceae.